GCGGAAGGAUCAUUAACGAAAUCGAAUGUUCGGGUUGUUGCUGGGUGGUCUCUCUUCUUCCCUUUAGGGGGGGGGGAUUAUAUGUGCACGCCUGGACCGUCGUUGUCCCAUUUCUUCCACACCUGUGCACGAUCUGUAGUUGGGGAUGAUCACGGGGCUGGCUUUUUGUCGGUCUCGAAUGGCCCCGACUAUGAACGGUUUAUUACACACCUUGAUUUUGUUUUUAUCGGAAUGUAUGCCCGCGUUGUAACGGCGCGAAUGAAAUACAACUUUCAGCAACGGAUCUCUUGGCUCUCGCAUCGAUGAAGAACGCAGCGAAAUGCGAUAAGUAAUGUGAAUUGCAGAAUUCAGUGAAUCAUCGAAUCUUUGAACGCACCUUGCGCCCCUUGGUAUUCCGAGGGGCAUGCCUGUUUGAGUGUCAUGAAAUUCUCAACCCCAACUUUGGUUUUGUUUCGGAGUUGAAGUUGGAUUUGGAGUGUUUGCUGGCCCUGUUCGGCUCCUCCCAAAAGCAUAUAAAUGUAGCUCUUUCUGCUGGAUCUUUGACGUGAUAAUUGUCUACGUCCGUGGAGAAAGCCCUUGAGCAUGACGGUGUGAGGGGAUCUCCGUUCCCUUAACCCGACUUUUAUUAUUCGACCUCAAAUCAGGCAGGACUACCCGCUGAACUUAAGCAUAUCAAUAAGCGGAGGAAAAGAAACUAACGAGGAUUCCCCUAGUAACUGCGAGUGAAGCGGGAAAAGCUCAAAUUUAAAAUCUGG
Molecule: ribosomal RNA, 755 nt
Filed under: uncultured fungus
Lineage: Eukaryota; Fungi
Description: eukaryotic LSU rRNA
Rfam family: 5.8S ribosomal RNA (bases 268-421)
Source: RNAcentral